This 77-nucleotide non-coding RNA is filed under the name Sebaldella termitidis. RNAcentral describes it as "Fluoride sequence". It matches the Rfam family "Fluoride riboswitch aptamer (crcB RNA motif)". The record is from RNAcentral. Lineage: Bacteria; Fusobacteriati; Fusobacteriota; Fusobacteriia; Fusobacteriales; Leptotrichiaceae.
UAAACUUAAGGAGAUGAAGCUCUCCGCGGUGUAUGCCGGAACCACAUGUUUUUCAUGUUAAUAGCUUCUGCAGCGUU